GACGAACGCUGGCGGCGUGCUUAACACAUGCAAGUCGAACGGAAAGGCCCUGCUUUUGUGGGGUGCUCGAGUGGCGAACGGGUGAGUAACACGUGAGUAACCUGCCCUUGACUUUGGGAUAACUUCAGGAAACUGGGGCUAAUACCGGAUAGGAGCUCCUGCUGCCUGGUGGGGGUUGGAAAGUUUCGGCGGUUGGGGAUGGACUCGCGGCUUAUCAGCUUGUUGGUGGGGUAGUGGCUUACCAAGGCUUUGACGGGUAGCCGGCCUGAGAGGGUGACUGGCCACAUUGGGACUGAGAUACGGCCCAGACUCCUACGGGAGGCAGCAGUGGGGAAUAUUGCACAAUGGGCGGAAGCCUGAUGCAGCAACGCCGCGUGCGGGAUGACGGCCUUCGGGUUGUAAACCGCUUUCGCCUGUGACGAAGCGUGAGUGACGGUAAUGGGUAAAGAAGCACCGGCUAACUACGUG
Molecule: ribosomal RNA, 468 nt
Filed under: uncultured bacterium
Lineage: Bacteria
Description: partial 16S ribosomal RNA
Rfam family: Bacterial small subunit ribosomal RNA
Source: RNAcentral